This is a non-coding RNA of Danio rerio (zebrafish), 2869 nucleotides long. The record is from RefSeq and is a predicted model, not a curated record. Lineage: Eukaryota; Metazoa; Chordata; Actinopteri; Cypriniformes; Danionidae.
UUUCUUUAGCACAACGUGAUGUGAUCUGCGCGUGCGCGUGGAGGCGUGUGUUCGUGCAUGUAAACUAGCGGCCUUUUCACUCUGGGUGACCGACGCGUGUGUUUUUCCAUUAAGAAACCCCGACUUCCUAAAGUGUAAACAUAAACAGCAGCCCUGCCCCGACGCGCCCCAACCCCAAGCGGAGCCGUCAUGUGGCAGGAGGCCCGCAAACAUGAACGCAAACUGCGAGGGAUGAUGGUGGACUACAAACGGCGUGGGGAAAGGCGAAGAGAGUACUAUGAAAAAAUUAAAAAGGAUCCAGCCCAGUUCCUGCAAGUUCAUGGCAGAGCCUACAAAAUCCACCUGGAUUCAGCUGUCGCCCUGGCAGCUGAGAGUCCCAUAAACAUGAUGCCUUGGCAAGGAGAUACCAACAACAUGAUUGACAGGUUUGAUGUCAGAGCUCACCUGGACUACAUCCCUACUUAUACGCCUCUACCCAUCCUUAGCACUACCACCCCUGAGCAGGAAUCAGAAGAGCGGAAGUGCAAUUAUGAGCGCUACAGAGGGCUGGUGCAGAACGACUUUGCCUGCAUCUCUGAAGAACAGUGCUUGUACCAGAUCUAUGUGGAUGAACUCUACGGUGGCCUACAGAAGCCAAAUGAGGAUGAAAAGAAAAAACUCGCUGAGAAGAAAGCUCAGAUUGGUUAUACGUAUGAGGACAGCACAGUGACUGAACAAGAUGAACAAUCAAAGAAGGGAACUGAGGAGGAUUCGGAAAACAGCGAGUCUGAGGAAGACGAAAUCAUCCCUGACAUCGAUGUUGAGGUGGACGUAGAUGAACUGAGCCCUGAACAGGUGUUGGAGAUUAACAAGAUGGCCACCACUUACGGCAUGGCAGACGGAGACUUUGUUUGGAUGUUGAGGAAAGACAAGGAGGAAGUGGAGGCCAUUAAACACGCUAAAGCACUGGAGGCAGAGAAGGCCAUGUACUCUGGCCGGCGGUCUCGCAGACAACGAAGAGAGUUCAGAGAGAAGUAUAUGAAAGGCAGGCAGAUCAGCCCACCCAGCUAUGCCAGAAGAGACAGUCCUACAUAUGACCCCUACAAACGGCCAGAGUCGGACUCAAGUUCAGAGUCACGCUCUCGUUCCCGAACUCCAGGCAAUGAUAAGAUCACCUUCAUCACAAGCUUUGGGGGCAGUGAUGAAGAGGGAGCCACUGCCACAGCAGCCCCACCUGCAGCGGCAUCAAGCCACAGCACCUCCAACAGCGCAGGUCAUAGCAGGGGCUCCCGCCGAAGACGGUCUUCUUCCAGUCCUUCAUCAUUUUCCUCUCGCUCCUCAUCACACCGUUCGUCACGCUCAUCCUCACGUUCUCGUCGGAGUCGUCGUUCCCGUGGCGGCAGGGACCGGGACAGCCGCUACUCCAGGUCUCGAUCUCGCUCUCGGCGACGAUCUGACUCACGGUCACGGCAGCGCAGUGGAGGAGUAAGUUCAAGAAGACGAUACGACAGGACGAGGUCUCGUUCUGUGGAUCGGGGGAGAGACAGAAACAGAGAUCGGGACAGGGGGAGGCGCUACACGGGUCGUAGACGAACCAGAUCUCGCUCACGUUCACGAUCAGUUGAUCGUUAUCGGCAGCGAAGUCGCAGUUCUGCAUACAGGAGGGGCGGCAGUAUCAGUCAAAGCCCCUCACGUUCCCCUGCUGCAAGCCGCAGCUCCUCCCCCUCCUCCUAUUCUGCUCUACCUGGCUCUGCUGCUCCAGACAAACUGAGAAAGCCUGAAACUCCGGGUGGUAAAGAGACUGGAGCUGCCAAAGUCACCCAAGAUGACACCUCAAGAAAAACUCAAACUCCGCAUGCAGAAGGCCCUGAACAGGCAAUCCAAGGCGGAUAAGAAGGCGGCACAAGCUAAGAUCCAGCAACAGGAGCACAAGCGACAGGAAAGAGAGGGAGUUCUUCGCGCAAUGGCACGGAAAAUACGCAUGAAGGAACGGGAACGGCGGGAAAAAGAGAGAGAUGAAUGGGAGAGACAGUAUGGACGUCAGAGUCAUUCGCCCUCCCCCAAUGCCAAAUACAGUCGGGACUACGGCUCAUCGAGAAGGAGAUCACGCUCAAGAUCACGGAGUCCUCCUUACCGGUACUGAAGAACCUGCUGAUAAAAGAGACAAUGACACAUCAAACAGAUGGUUUAGGAGUGAUUACAACAGUUUACAUGCAAGUCUGGAGGGAAAUUACAAAUAAAAUGAAUAUCACUCACUGCAGCUUCUCUUACGUCUUCUAAGGAUGCAAUGGAAACCAACUAAAUCCUUUCUUAAAUUGUGAAAAUUAACAACAUCAUGCUAUAGAAACGCAUAUGAACUCUUUAUUACACAGAAAACAUGAAUUGUUGGGAAUGUUUUGAGCUGCUAGGAUUCUUACAAAGCUUUGCAGAUUGUUUUUGGUCGAACUUUGAUAAUUAUGCCGAAGAUUGGGAUGGAUCCUCUUCCCUCUUGUCUUAAAGCCCCAUUAAAGAGUGUUCACACACACAAAAAAAUACAAAUUGUUGCGAUUUUCUCACCCUCAUGUCUUUCCAAACACCUUUGGCUGACUGACUUUCUUGAAAAACAUCAUUCUGACAAACUUUGCUUUCGGUAGAAGUAGGAAAAAAGGUCAGCAAGGCUGAGUAAGUGACAUACUUGUGUUUUCUAGGUAAACCUUUCCAUUUGACCUCAUUGUACAUAAUAUCUUCAUUAAAGAGAGUACAUUUCUUUUAAAGAAAAUGCUAAUUCUAUUUGCUCAUCUUUUUCACUCAGCAAUGUAAAUGUCUGGUGGUUCUUUCUUCUAUUGAAAACAAUCAUCAGUGACCACACAUUUUGACAGAAAUAAAAACCUAAACAUGAAUGAAAAAUGAA